Molecule: ribosomal RNA, 348 nt
Filed under: uncultured bacterium
Lineage: Bacteria
Description: bacterial SSU rRNA
Rfam family: Bacterial small subunit ribosomal RNA
Source: RNAcentral
AACGAACGCUGGCGGCAUGCCUAACACAUGCAAGUCGAGCGCCCGUAGCAAUACGGGAGCGGCGCACGGGUGAGUAGCGCGUGGGAACCUGCCCAGAGGUUCGGGACAACCGCGGGAAACUGCGGCUGAUACCGGAUGAUGCCUGAGGGCCAAAGAUUUAUCGCCUUUGGAGGGGCCCGCGUCGGAUUAGGUAGUUGGUGAGGUAACGGCUCACCAAGCCUGUGAUCCGUAGCUGGUCUGAGAGGAUGAUCAGCCACACUGGGACUGAGACACGGCCCAGACUCCUACGGGAGGCAGCAGUGGGGAGUAUUGGACAAUGGGGGCAACCCUGAUCCAGCAAUGCCGCGU